ACGUGCACUAUUCAUCACUAUACUCCUUUAAUCCCCUCCUCCCACCGUCGCGCGCUCUCUUCCACGCACGAGCCCUUUCUCCCUCGCCGCCGUGAAGCUCAUAGGCCCCCUCCCUCCCGUGUCAUCCUCUCUUUGUCCUUCCCUCCGUUGUUUUUUCUUCUUGCGCCGUGUUCGGAAUGGCGGCUCUCUUGCCAUCAGCAGCGCCGCUGAGGAUGCCGUGCCAGGUGGCCGAUCGAAUCCACGUUUACGGCCGCGUGAGGCCACCUGCCUCCCCCGACGCACCGCUGUGGAUCACCGUGGACAGUAGAAACACGACUUUGCACUGCGGCAGCACCUCCUCCGCGCUGCCGAAGACAGAGACCGUUUCGAAACGGCGGCCACCAACCACAGUGCAUGUGACUCAAUCGUCGAGCUUCACACUUGACGGCGUCGUCGGCGAUGCCCGAGGGGUCGCCGCGCAGACUUUCUUUGACAGCACCGCCCGUUCCUGCGUGGAGGACUCUCUGCUGAAGGGGACAAAUGCUACGGUUCUGUGCUGCGGCGAGAAAGGCACCGGCAAGACCACCACCAUGUUUGGCGACGUGGCCGUUCCUGGGCUGUGCCAGCGCAUCCUCGCCUCGCUCUUCGCUGUGGUGGAGGCACAUUCCGAGCCCUCAACGUCCACGUUUCUUUCGGGUGUGGCGAUGACUGCGCCCUCCACAUAUGACCUCGCGUCCCUGUGCUCGAGUGGCGCAGAGGAGGAGGAGGCGCGGCGCGGCUGCCGCACGCGGUUCCUGGUCAAACUCUCGUGCCUGGCGCUCCGUGGAGAGCACGUGGUGGACCUGCUCGCCGAGGCAGCACACGACAUGCCCUCAAACGGGGCGUCGGCGUCGGUGCCGCGGCGGACAGCGCCACCCCCAUUACCGGCUUCCUCGUCUCUAUCGCUCUCUGCGAGGCCCAACAUCACCAUGGAUCCACGAGGCAGAGUGUUAGUGCGCAACGUAUCGAAAGUGACGUGCUGCAGCGCCGCCGACGCCAUCGCGUUGAUACACCAGAGUCGUCGUGCGCCGUCUUCAGCAGCGUCGCCUUGGUCUCCUGGCCACGUCGUCGUCAUAGUGGACGUCACAUGUGAAGAGGGCGAGGAGGCAAGCGCAUCUCACCAUAUCAUCCGCACGGCCAAGCUGUACCUCGUCGACUUGGCAGCCGCGGAGCAGCCGCGGCACCGCAGCCAAAGGCCGCAGCCGCCGCCCUCGUCCACAUCGCCCUCGUUGCCGGCUGCUGAAAGCGUCGUCACAUCGCGCGGCGCCCGCUCCGAGGAUUCGGCGAUCCGGCAUUCACUUGCAAUACUCCAGCAGGUCAUCACAGGGCUCUCGUCUUCGUCGACGGUAGUGGACGAUGCGCCGCCUACGCGGCCUCCGUAUAAGCAGAGCAAGCUGUCGAUGCUGCUCAAAGGCCACCUUGGCGGCGGCUGUCGCACUCUUGUCAUCGCGCAUGUCCGGUCGGAAGAGGCGCACAGGCAGGAAACGCUGGCCACGCUACAGCUGGCGCGGCGGCUCUUGUGCGUGCCAGAGCAUCCUACCUCUCGGGUCGUCGAGGACCCCGUGGUUCGGGUACGCCAGCUGCAGCGGCAGGUGGCGGCGCUGCAGGCGGAGCUGCGGCUGCAGAUGGAGUUGAACCAGCACGCGGCAAGCUCUACAACAGCGCUUGCCGCCGCCGCCGCACCUGUCGAUGCACCGACAGCCAAGAACGCGAAAGAUGCGAAGAAGCGCUUCGGCGAUGCCUCGGCCACGGAUGCACAGGCGCGGUCGUCCAAAUCCUUCACUGGACGGGUGAGUGACCGGUGCACCUCGCCGUCGCAGACACCGGCCGGGGCGGCGAGCGACUGCCAUCCACUGCUGCGCCGCGCCGCCUCAUCAUCCGCUACGCCGGUCUCGGCUGCCCUGACCACAGGCGUAAUGAACUUCGUUGCCGGACGCAUCGCGGUACUCCCAGUCAGCACGGUGCUGGAGAUGAACACGUGCUUCGAGCUGCUGCGGCAGUGUGUGACAGAGAGGGACAUCCAGCUUCGCGCCGCAAUCACAGACCUGCGUAAGGCAGAGGCUGCUACAGCAGCUGCAUUCACGGCCCUGGCAGCGAGCAGCGCGCGCAGCUCCGUUUCCGAGCGGUAUUCAGGGCGAUCCAUCUGCAGCGGAGGGGCCGGCCGACGCCGGAUGCGCUCGAUACGAGGCACGGCGAGUUUAGCGAGGGACACCCCCACCGCGGAGGGCAAGUGCCACUCUUCGAUGGACUCGGUUCUGCCAACGUCGAUAACGCCGCUGCCCAGAUGUAACUCUUUGCGUACGACGCUACUCCAUGAGCCGAGCCCGACUGUGCCGGCAACUGCUGGUGUCAAGGCAGGAAAGGGGUACGGCAGCGCUCCAUCGGCUACGGGGUUAUCCCGAGGUGAGACCAAGGACACAGCCCCGCUUUCGCCGUUGCCGGGGCUGAGCGUCUUUCCAUCGACGGGGCCCAACGCAGCUGCCGCCACAGCCAACGCCCCGCUUGCCGCUGCUGCUGGUGCGGCGCGGUCGGCGAAUGAAGGGAUCAUAUCUCCAGAAAACGAGGUGGUCUUUGCCCCCAACUACAACGAAGCGGCGUCUUUUAAGCCGUUUGCGCCGUCGUCGUCUCUCCAGUGUGCGCGGGUAGUCUCGAGCGCACCGGUGUCGCUGAUCCGCCCUUUGUCAGCAUCGAAGAGCACGGCAAGCGCGUCGCGAAAAGCCUCCGCCGCCCGGCAGCCGUCGACGCUGUGGGGCCGGGCGCCCACCGACUCGCUGGGCCCGUCUUCCUCGAUCGAGGUGAACUCCACAGCGCAGGUGCGGCGAUCACACUCGGCAGCUGAUUCAGCGCUGCAGGCGAGUCCGGGCGAGUCUUCCGCGUUUCACAUCUACACAACUCAGACAGCGGAGGGUGUGCAGCAGGUGCAGCAAGUGCGACACGAAGAGGAGGCACUUACCAGCCUAAGACUGCGUCUCGUGGCGGAGGUGACGGGUGAUAGCUGUCACAGCGACACAGCCCUGGCAGACGAGUGUCGCUACCACGAGGGCCAGCUAACACGACGUCGCGAGGCGCUGCUGCGGAAUUUUGAGUCGUGGUAUCGCGCUCGUGUGCCUGCCGAGGACGACACCGCGGCUGCGGCGAAUUCGUUGCAGAAACCUGCAGAGAAUUCAAAGCAGCUGACGCUUGGGACGAUGCGGCGACGGCUGCGGCGCCCUGCCACUGCUGGAAGCGCAGGGAGUGGUGGCGGUGGCGGCGAUGUGGGUGAGCUCAGUGCUAUCGCCAUCAACGGCGUCGGAGGUAAUGGCGCCUACAAGGUCUGGGGUGGCGUCAGGCCGGUUCUGCGUUCUGCCGCCUCUUUUUCCUCCGCCACACAGAAGGAGUCGGCUGACGAGGCUGCAGCGAUAGCCAUGUCGUCCGACAUCUUCAGCGCAGCCGGUGCUUCGUCUGCCGCCUACUACUCCAUGUGAUCACGGCACGCUGUUUGAAUCUGGGCUUCGCACACGAUGCAGAGCUCUUCUGCCGCUGCGGGUGGUGGCUGUGAUUGCGUGGUGUUGUGCAACGGCGGAUGUGGCUGCUGCUUGUUGCUCGCAUCAGCUUUUACAUGUGCGGUGCACCCCUUGCACUUAGGCAUCACAAGCGUGCUGGCGAAACGGCCAUGAAAGAGAAACGGGGGAGAGGGCAGGAUGGCAGUUGGACGGAGGGUGCCGGUGGCUCAAGCACGCACACGCGCGCACAGAACGAGAGGGGAAGAGCGAGCAAAGCAUUCGUUUGCUUCCCUCUCUCGCUAGCUGUUUCUCUUACUCUUAUUUGGGGUUGUUCGUGGAUGCCCCGCCCUCCCCACGCGCCUCCCUUGCGUGCUCGCCUGUCUUCACGCACACGCAUGUGCGUGUGCGUGUGCGGGCGCAUUGCUUGCUUGAGCGCUUCCAUUCAUGUACAGUAGCCGCGCGCACCACUCGUGCUAUGUGAGAGGGAGGGACGGUGAUCGAUAAGGACGGGGGGGAGGGGCGGGAGGAUAAACAUGGAGACAAGGGAGGGGCGUUUGGGCCCAGACGAUCCAGCGUACACGCUUUUCCUAUUAUCUCAUCAGCGCACAGACAUAGAGAGGUGUGUGUGUGUGCCCAUUCACUAUGUACAUGUUCUCUCCCUCCCUGCCUCUCCUCAUCAGUUCAGUCUCUCCCUCCCUCUUCUCCCUGCCCUCCCUUUUCUCGUCUCUCCUGCACCGUCUGUGCUGCUCCCACGGCACCACGUAAAAGAGGAAAGACGACGGCGGCAGCAAAGAGGCUCACGCGGAGCGGUGAUCAAAAACGAAUGCUGCUGUGCUUUCCAACAAGAAGCGCAUGCAGAGGCGGGUUGGGGGAGGAUAGGGAGAGUGAUACGGCUGCUGCUGCUGCGUAUCGUUCCGUCCCCCUUUUCUGCGCGGAG
This 4437-nucleotide unclassified non-coding RNA is filed under the name Leishmania donovani. Its description in RNAcentral is "gene:LdHU3.17.0510(CDS-product:Kinesin_motor_doma in_containing_protein_putative)". The record is from RNAcentral. Lineage: Eukaryota; Euglenozoa; Kinetoplastea; Trypanosomatida; Trypanosomatidae.